RNAcentral lists this long non-coding RNA (1729 nucleotides) under Pan troglodytes (chimpanzee). RNAcentral's name for it is "bidirectional promoter lncRNA". The record is from RNAcentral. Lineage: Eukaryota; Metazoa; Chordata; Mammalia; Primates; Hominidae.
CUCCCGGCCUCACCUCGCAGACGCGACGGGCCGGGGAGGAAGCGCUGGGAGCAGUGCAGGUUUCGUUAUCCCGUGUUAGGUCACUCCGGAGAGGGGAAAGCGGCCCACAGCGUCGCGCGACCCGGAAACGACACAACGAGGCCCAAUCUUUUAGACUCGAGUUUAGGCCCCGGGGUGGAGUCUCCGGACCGGGUCCCCCCCACCCCCCCCCCGCUACAGGGGCAGUGCGCAGGCGCGAGGGACGCACAACCCCAGCCCCUGUCCCAGUGAGCCCGUCGCCAUGGAAUCCCUGCAGACUCCCCAGCACCGCGAAAAUCAAGAUAAAAGGGAGAAGGAGUAUGGGGUAAAACACAUGCCUAUGGGCAAUAAUGCAGGGAAUCUUGAGCCCGAAAAGAGAAAGGCAGUAAGAGUUGCCUUGAAUUCAGCAACAGCUGCACAGAAUAUCCCGUCCAGUGUCCACUGUGGCUGCUCCAAGCAAUGGAGACUCAAGCUACCAUCGGAGUCGCUGCAAAGUCGGGGACAGGUGAUGAAGCGGCCGAAUAACAUUUUAAAGCUCAGGAAUCUGGAUCUGUUGCUCUACCCUUGGCCAGAACUUAGAAGACGGCAGGUUGCUUCUGACCUAGUGAGCCUCCUCCUUCUCCCCGCUUUUUCCGGCCUUACUUGGGCCCCCUUCCUUUUCCUCUUUACAUAUCUGCCUCCUUUUCUCAAUCUCCUCACUGUUGGUUUUGUAUCCUAUUUUCUGGUAUAGUUUCUGUGAUUUCUUUCAUUUAUUUAUUAUUAUUAUUGUUGUUGUUGAGACAGAGUUUUGCCCUUGUUGCCCAGGCUGGAGUGCAAUGGCGCGAUCCUGGCUCACUCUAGCCAACGCCUCACAGGUUCAGGUGAUUCUCCUGCCUCAGCCUCCGGAGUAGCUGGGGUUACAGGCACGGGCCACCAGCCCAGCUAAUUUUUGUAUUUUUAGUACAGACGGUGUUUCACCAUGUUAGUCAGGCUGGUCUCGAACUCCUGACCUCAGGUCAUCCGCCCACCUCGGCCUUCCAAAGUGCUGGGAUUACAGGCAUGAGCUACUGUGCCCAGCCUCUAUGAUUUCAAUUUCCAUGUUUAAGUACCUAUGUAGAACCUAACUGUCCAUAAAGUAAACACAACAAAAAAAAAGAUUUGGCUUUUGGUCAAAGAUCAUUGGAGGUUGGUUACACAGGGUAAAGUGCAGUAUGAUUUUUAUCACAAUUAGAAAGAUUAAAAAGAGAUGACAGUGAGUUUGUGAGAACAGGUUUGUGUUUCAUAAAAUGAAUUGUGUGAGUUCGCUAUGAUGAAUUGCAAGCAGCUUGCAUUUCCAAAGACAAAUAGAGACACAGGAAUCUAAUUAAAAUGCUAAAGUAAUGGGAAGGAGACAUCCAUACGUUUUUGUCCCCCUAAGGUUCCAGAUUUAUAGUUUGAGCAUCAUCUCAGCUUACAUUUUCUCUGUGGAAAACAUCAGCCAUUACAUUACUUGGCUCUGGGUUGAAAUCCUAACUUCAUCAGCUGAAGAUCUUAUGACCUAGGCAAGUUUAUUAACCUCCUCUAUGACGUGAUAAAAACAGUAUCUCUUGUGCGGAUUAGAAGAAAUGUUCCUCUAUGCUAAGAUGAUUAUUAUGUGCGGAACACAUAGUUAAGUGCUUGAUAAAUUGAACUAUGGCGAAUCCAGUCUCAACCAUGGCAAAACUAAGUUAAUAAAAAUGAAACAUAACCUUUA